AUACGGAGGAUGCAAGCGUUAUCCGGAUUUAUUGGGUUUAAAGGGUGCGUAGGCGGUUUGCUAAGCGGGAGGUGAAAUGCUGGGGCUCAACGGCGGAAGUGCCUCCCGAACUGGUGGACUUGAAUGACUCUGCCGUGGGAGGAAUGUGGAGGGUAGCGGUGAAAUGCUUAGAGAUUACACAGAACACCGAUUGCGAAGGCAUCUCACGAAGGGUUGAUUGACGCUGAGGCACGAAAGCGUGGGGAUCAAACAGGAUUAGAUACCCUGGUAGUCCACGCAGUAAACGAUGAUGGCUAACCGCUGGGCUUAUCAGUUCAGUGGCCAAGCGAAAGCGAUAAGCCAUCCACCUGGGGAGUACGACCGCAAGGUUGAAACUCAAAUGAAUUGGCGGGG
This 393-nucleotide ribosomal RNA is filed under the name uncultured bacterium. RNAcentral's name for it is "partial 16S ribosomal RNA". It matches the Rfam family "Bacterial small subunit ribosomal RNA", at positions 523 to 918 of the family's 1533-position model. The record is from RNAcentral.